Molecule: ribosomal RNA, 464 nt
Filed under: uncultured bacterium
Lineage: Bacteria
Description: partial 16S ribosomal RNA
Rfam family: Bacterial small subunit ribosomal RNA
Source: RNAcentral
GACGAACGCUGGCGGCGUGCUUAACACAUGCAAGUCGAACGAUGAAGCCAGCUUGCUGGUGGAUUAGUGGCGUACGGGUGGGUAACACGUGGGUGAUCUGCCCCAAACUUUGGGAUAAGCCUGGGAAACUGGGUCUAAUACCGAAUAUGACAGAUACUCGCCUGGGUGAUGGUGGAAAGUAUCGGCGGUUUGGGAUGGGCCCGGGGCCUAUCCGCUUGUUUGUGGGGUAAUGGCCUUCCAAGGCGACGACGGGUAGCCGGCCUGAGAUGGCGACCUGCCACACUGGGACUGAGACACGGCCCAGACUACUACGGGAGGCAGAAGUGGGGAGUAUUACACAAUGGGCUCAAGCCUGAUGCAGCGACGCCGCGUGGGGUAUGACAUCCUGCGGGUAGUAAACCUCUUUCACCUGGGACGAAGCGAUAAUGACGGUACCUGGAGAAGAAGCACCGGCUAACUACGUG